Molecule: ribosomal RNA, 468 nt
Filed under: Escherichia coli
Lineage: Bacteria; Pseudomonadati; Pseudomonadota; Gammaproteobacteria; Enterobacterales; Enterobacteriaceae
Description: partial 23S ribosomal RNA
Rfam family: Bacterial large subunit ribosomal RNA
Source: RNAcentral
CUAACGUCCGUCGUGAAGAGGGAAACAACCCAGACCGCCAGCUAAGGUCCCAAAGUCAUGGUUAAGUGGGAAACGAUGUGGGAAGGCCCAGACAGCCAGGAUGUUGGCUUAGAAGCAGCCAUCAUUUAAAGAAAGCGUAAUAGCUCACUGGUCGAGUCGGCCUGCGCGGAAGAUGUAACGGGGCUAAACCAUGCACCGAAGCUGCGGCAGCGACACUAUGUGUUGUUGGGUAGGGGAGCGUUCUGUAAGCCUGUGAAGGUGUACUGUGAGGUAUGCUGGAGGUAUCAGAAGUGCGAAUGCUGACAUAAGUAACGAUAAAGCGGGUGAAAAGCCCGCUCGCCGGAAGACCAAGGGUUCCUGUCCAACGUUAAUCGGGGCAGGGUGAGUCGACCCCUAAGGCGAGGCCGAAAGGCGUAGUCGAUGGGAAACAGGUUAAUAUUCCUGUACUUGGUGUUACUGCGAAGGGGG